Long non-coding RNA from Mercenaria mercenaria, 1035 nucleotides. RefSeq lists it as uncharacterized. The record is from RefSeq and is a predicted model, not a curated record. The transcript has 3 exons. Lineage: Eukaryota; Metazoa; Mollusca; Bivalvia; Venerida; Veneridae.
AGUGAUCUAUAUCUGUGGUUAUCAAUGUUUAUCAAAAAAACUUUGUAGUCCAGCACAGACUUCGCGGAUAAAUCUGUUAAAAGUGAAUAUGUUAUGAAGACAUAAACGUAUUAACUUUUUUUAUUUGACAAAGGAAGUAGGAACAGUCUUUUAAACAAACUAGAAGUGUUGUCGAAACCGGUACAAGAUGGAGACGGAGCUAAGAGCACACUCCACUGUUUCGUAUGAUAUCAGUCCAAUACCUGUUGAUACUCGUAUGAGGACUGUUCUUGGUAUACGAGGUUUCUCAGACCCCGAUGCGCCGUUGACAACCGCUGAGAAAAUCAACGUUGGAAUUCUUAUAGCGUUCCUGUAUGCAGCAUUCAUUGUGGGAGCAGUUCUAACGGCUGUCUAUAACAGCUGAAUAUUGCUUCUUUUCUGUAACUGUUAUAUGUUAUCAACUAGCAUUGUGAUCUUCAUCAAAUCGUGUGAUUUAAACUUUUACAAGUGUUGCAAAUAACUUCUGUACUUUGAUAGUUUUCCCAUAUGUUUCAAAACAAUUCUAUCAUACCAUUGCUGUUAUACCUCUAAUCUUUCUGUAGAGAGGUCAAUACUUGAAGAUGACCGUGGAAAAUGUAUCUUUAUUUCUUGCGCCCAUUCAUUCAUGCUGAUAAAGUAUUCUUUUAGUCAUCAUUAUUCUGUUGAAAGGUACAGACGGGUGAGAUUUUAUUCUUUAAUAGUAACUACGUUUUCUUUAUGUGGAAUGUAAUGGUAUGAAAAGUGUUAUAUGUGUCGUUAUCACAAAAUUGAAUUUUGAAACAGCGGUUACACAUUUGUUCGUAAUCACUCACGCUUGAAGGAAUAGAAUUUAAAGACUAGUAUAAGUGGGUACGGGGCAAGAAGUUCUGUUAAAAUAUUUUAAGAAUUGUAUUUAGUGGAAGUGGCCUUUGUUUAAAACUUGUUGACAUAUUAACCAUUGCGAAGCAUCCUUUGUAAAUUACAUAUAUUGUUUUACGUCUUAGAAACAUUUUAAUAAUAAACCAUGACAAUAUUCUA